RNAcentral lists this small RNA (28 nucleotides) under Bombyx mori (domestic silkworm). RNAcentral's name for it is "ovarian small RNA-37649". The record is from RNAcentral. Lineage: Eukaryota; Metazoa; Arthropoda; Insecta; Lepidoptera; Bombycidae.
UUGAAUCCACAGAAACUUGACCAGCAAU